Molecule: ribosomal RNA, 1365 nt
Filed under: Salmonella enterica subsp. enterica serovar Virchow
Lineage: Bacteria; Pseudomonadati; Pseudomonadota; Gammaproteobacteria; Enterobacterales; Enterobacteriaceae
Description: partial 23S ribosomal RNA
Rfam family: Bacterial large subunit ribosomal RNA
Source: RNAcentral
AAUCCAUAGGUUAAUGAGGCGAACCGGGGGAACUGAAACAUCUAAGUACCCCGAGGAAAAGAAAUCAACCGAGAUUCCCCCAGUAGCGGCGAGCGAACGGGGAGGAGCCCAGAGCCUGAAUCAGCAUGUGUGUUAGUGGAAGCGUCUGGAAAGGCGCGCGAUACAGGGUGACAGCCCCGUACACAAAAGCGCAUGUGCUGUGAGCUCGAUGAGUAGGGCGGGACACGUGGUAUCCUGUCUGAAUAUGGGGGGACCAUCCUCCAAGGCUAAAUACUCCUGACUGACCGAUAGUGAACCAGUACCGUGAGGGAAAGGCGAAAAGAACCCCGGCGAGGGGAGUGAAAAAGAACCUGAAACCGUGUACGUACAAGCAGUGGGAGCACCCUUCGGGGUGUGACUGCGUACCUUUUGUAUAAUGGGUCAGCGACUUAUAUUCUGUAGCAAGGUUAACCGAAUAGGGGAGCCGGAGGGAAACCGAGUCUUAAUUGGGCGUUAAGUUGCAGGGUAUAGACCCGAAACCCGGUGAUCUAGCCAUGGGCAGGUUGAAGGUUGGGUAACACUAACUGGAGGACCGAACCGACUAAUGUUGAAAAAUUAGCGGAUGACCUGUGGCUGGGGGUGAAAGGCCAAUCAAACCGGGAGAUAGCUGGUUCUCCCCGAAAGCUAUUUAGGUAGCGCCUCGUGAAUUCAUCUCCGGGGGUAGAGCACUGUUUCGGCUAGGGGGCCAUCCCGGCUUACCAACCCGAUGCAAACUGCGAAUACCGGAGAAUGUUAUCACGGGAGACACACGGCGGGUGCUAACGUCCGUCGUGAAGAGGGAAACAACCCAGACCGCCAGCUAAGGUCCCAAAGUCAUGGUUAAGUGGGAAACGAUGUGGGAAGGCCCAGACAGCCAGGAUGUUGGCUUAGAAGCAGCCAUCAUUUAAAGAAAGCGUAAUAGCUCACUGGUCGAGUCGGCCUGCGCGGAAGAUGUAACGGGGCUAAACCAUGCACCGAAGCUGCGGCAGCGACGCUGAUGCGUUGUUGGGUAGGGGAGCGUUCUGUAAGCCUGUGAAGGUGGCCUGUGAGGGUUGCUGGAGGUAUCAGAAGUGCGAAUGCUGACAUAAGUAACGAUAAAGCGGGUGAAAAGCCCGCUCGCCGGAAGACCAAGGGUUCCUGUCCAACGUUAAUCGGGGCAGGGUGAGUCGACCCCUAAGGCGAGGCCGAAAGGCGUAGUCGAUGGGAAACGGGUUAAUAUUCCCGUACUUGGUGUUACUGCGAAGGGGGGACGGAGAAGGCUAUGUUGGCCGGGCGACGGUUGUCCCGGUUUAAGCGUGUAGGUGUGUGUUCCAGGUAAAUCCGGUUCACUUUAACACUGAGGCGUGA